This 190-nucleotide ribosomal RNA is filed under the name Amanita sp. 'T48'. RNAcentral's name for it is "partial 28S ribosomal RNA". It matches the Rfam family "Eukaryotic large subunit ribosomal RNA", at positions 1 to 175 of the family's 3401-position model. The record is from RNAcentral. Lineage: Eukaryota; Fungi; Basidiomycota; Agaricomycetes; Agaricales; Amanitaceae.
UUGACCUCAAAUCAGGUAGGACUACCCGCUGAACUUAAGCAUAUCAAUAAGCGGAGGAAAAGAAACUAACGAGGAUUCCCCUAGUAACUGCGAGUGAAGAGGGAAGAGCUCAAAUUUGAAAUCUGGCAGUCUGUUUUUUCUUCUUUGGCUGUCCGAGUUGUAAUCUAGAGAAGUGCUUACCUGCGCUGGA